GACAGAGGGUGCGAGCGUUAAUCGGAAUUACUGGGCGUAAAGGGUGCGUAGGCGGUUUAGUAAGUUGGAUGUGAAAGCCCUGGGCUUAACCUAGGAACGGCAUUUGAUACUGCUAAGCUAGAGUACAGUAGAGGGGAGUGGAAUUUCCGGUGUAGCGGUGAAAUGCGUAGAUAUCGGAAGGAACACCAGUGGCGAAGGCGACUCUCUGGACUGAUACUGACGCUGAGUCACGAAAGCGUGGGUAGCAAACAGG
This 253-nucleotide ribosomal RNA is filed under the name uncultured prokaryote. Its description in RNAcentral is "partial 16S ribosomal RNA". It matches the Rfam family "Bacterial small subunit ribosomal RNA", at positions 524 to 776 of the family's 1533-position model. The record is from RNAcentral.